GCCAGAGCCACGCUCAGAGAGAGAUUGUUAAGACACUGACACGUGAACAUCAACCAGAACCCAGCUGUGUGUCCUUUAAGAGCGACAGGUCAAUGUCUCCUCCUCCUGACUUUAAAUCUCCUGGACCUCCAUCUUCAGAGAGAGUGGACCAGCAGAACUCAGAGGUUCCCAGAGGUCCGUCUGCCCAGCAGCAUCUAACCCAGCUGGACUCCAUAUUUAUGCUGCUGGAGGACAACAUUGUCACUUUUGUGAAGAAGGAG
Long non-coding RNA from Fundulus heteroclitus (mummichog), 260 nucleotides. RefSeq lists it as uncharacterized. NCBI's taxonomy places the organism in Eukaryota, Metazoa, Chordata, Actinopteri, Cyprinodontiformes, Fundulidae. The record is from RefSeq and is a predicted model, not a curated record. The transcript has 4 exons.